Molecule: ribosomal RNA, 467 nt
Filed under: uncultured Acidobacteriaceae bacterium
Lineage: Bacteria; Pseudomonadati; Acidobacteriota; Terriglobia; Terriglobales; Acidobacteriaceae
Description: bacterial SSU rRNA
Rfam family: Bacterial small subunit ribosomal RNA
Source: RNAcentral
AGAGUUUGAUCAUGGCUCAGAAUCAACGCUGGCGGCGUGCCUCAGACAUGCAAGUCGAACGAUUAAAGCUCUCUUCGGAGAGUGUAUAGAGUGGCGCACGGGUGAGUAACACGUAAGUAAUCUACCUUCGAGUGGGGAAUAACGUCCGGAAACGGACGCUAAUACCGCAUAAUGCAGCGGCAUCGUAAGAUGACAGUUGUUAAAGAUUUAUCGCUUGAAGAGGAGCUUGCGGCAGAUUAGCUAGUUGGUAAGGUAAUGGCUUACCAAGGCUACGAUCUGUAACCGGUCUUAGAGGACGGUCGGUCACACUGACACUGAAUAACGGGUCAGACUCCUACGGGAGGCAGCAGUCGGGAAUUUUGGGCAAUGGGCGAAAGCCUGACCCAGCAACGCCGCGUGAAGGAUGAAGUAUUUCGGUAUGUAAACUUCGAAAGAAUAGGAAGAAUAAAUGACGGUACUAUUAUAAG